This 253-nucleotide ribosomal RNA is filed under the name uncultured bacterium. Its description in RNAcentral is "partial 16S ribosomal RNA". It matches the Rfam family "Bacterial small subunit ribosomal RNA", at positions 524 to 776 of the family's 1533-position model. The record is from RNAcentral.
UACGUAGGGGGCAAGCGUUGUCCGGAAUCAUUGGGCGUAAAGCGCGUGUAGGCGGCCAGAAAAGUCCGCUGUGAAAACUCGAGGCUCAACUUCGAGCUGUCGGUGGAAACUUUCUGGCUAGAGUCCGGAAGAGGAGAAUGGAAUUCCUGGUGUAGCGGUGAAAUGCGCAGAUAUCAGGAAGAACACCCGUGGCGAAGGCGGUUCUCCGGGACGGUACUGACGCUGAGACGCGAAAGCGUGGGGAGCGAACAGG